This is a non-coding RNA of Acanthosepion pharaonis, 94 nucleotides long. The record is from the annotation of a GenBank genome assembly. NCBI's taxonomy places the organism in Eukaryota, Metazoa, Mollusca, Cephalopoda, Sepiida, Sepiidae.
GUUGUAACACUAGUUCUCAUACGAUCACCAAAAUUAAGCAACAUUAAGCUUGGUUAGUACCAAGAUGGGUGACCACUUGGGAAUAUCAGGUGUU